AGACGCGAGUAUUGGAAACUUUGACAGUAAAAAGCAGAGAGAGAAGAGUCGUGCAGCUGUCUCUCCCGAAAAUUUAUGUGUCUUUCCAAGAAAGUGAACGAAAAAAAAAAAAAUAAAGAAAAAGAGAAAGAGAAAGAAUCAUUGAGCUGUGGUUUACCAACUCAAAAAAUUAAUAAUAAUCGAGAAGCGCUUGGAUCUGUCUGUAAUUGAUCUGAUCUUGUUGAAUCAAUUAGGAAGAAGGAAAUGUCAACAGGGAAAACGGGAAGUAGGUCUCGAGUUAGUAAGGAGAAUGGAACGAAACUUGAAGAAGGUUUGAUUGUUUUCAAGUCUGAUAAGUUCGAUGCCGAUGCUUAUGUUCAGACCAAAUGCUCUCUCAACGACAAGGAAAUAAGGCAAUUAUGUUCGUAUCUUCUGGAUUUGAAGAAAGCUUCUGCUGAAGAAAUGCGUAAAAGUGUCUAUGCUAAUUAUGCUGCUUUUAUCCGCACUUCCAAAGAGAUAUCAGAUUUAGAGGGGGAGCUUUCAUCCAUCAGAAAUCUGCUGUCUACUCAGGCUACUUUAAUUCAUGGUUUAGCAGAGGGAGUUCACAUUGAUUCAAAGGUAGAAGCUCCUACAGUAAAUGGUUUCCUAAAUGCUGAAGAUCGAGAGCCAUCUGAUUUGGAGAAGUGGUCAGUAGAAUUCCCUGAUCUGCUUGACGUUUUGUUAGCUGAGAGAAGGGUGGAUGAAGCUUUAGCUGCUCUUGAUGAGGGAGAGCGUGUAGCAUCUGAAGCAAAAGAAACAAAAUCAUUGAGUCCUGAUAUACUUUGGUCAUUGCAGACGGCUCUUACAGAGCGCCGGCAGAAGUUAGCUGAUCAGCUCGCUGAAGCUGCUUGCCAACCUUCUACCCAUGGUAGUGAACUUCGUGCAGCUAUAUCAGCUCUUAAAAAGCUUGGGGAUGGCCCUCGAGCCCAUAAUUUACUACUCAAUGCGCAUUUCCAGAGAUAUCAGUACAACAUGCAAAGCCUUCGUCCAUCAAGCACCUCAUAUGGUGGAGCAUAUACUGCUGCACUCUCACAGAUAGUUUUCUCUGCUAUAGCCCAAGCUGCUAGUGAUUCAUUGGCUAUUUUCGGCAAGGAACCAGCUUAUACCUCUGAGCUUGUUAUAUGGGCUACUAAGCAAACAGAGGCUUUUGCUGUUCUUGUUAAAAGACAUGCAUUAGCAUCAUCAGCAGCUGCUGGAGGUUUAAGGGCUGCUGCAGAGUGUGUUCAAAUAGCUUUAGGUCACUGUUCUUUGUUGGAAGCUCGUGGCUUAGCACUUUGUCCUGUGCUCUUAAAACUCUUUAGGCCUAGUGUUGAGCAAGCUUUAGAUGCCAAUUUAAAACGAAUUGAAGAGAGCACUGCUGCUUUGGCUGCUGCUGAUGAUUGGGUAUUAACUUAUCCUCCAACGGCUACUCGACAGUCUGGCAGGUCUUCUGUUGCCUCUCUUGGUAAUACUACAUUCCAACAUAAGCUUACGAGCAGCGCCCAUAGGUUCAAUUUGAUGGUCCAGGACUUCUUUGAGGAUGUAGGACCCCUUUUAAGCAUGCAGUUGGGAAGUCAAUCGCUGGAAGGUUUGUUUCAAGUAUUUAACUCAUAUGUGAACAUGCUGAUAAAAGCAUUACCAGGUUCAAUGGAAGAAGAAGCAAAUUUUGGGGGUUCAGCAAAUAAAAUUGUACGAAUGGCUGAGACUGAAGCCCAGCAGAUUGCAUUGCUAGCCAAUGCAUCAUUAUUGGCUGAUGAGCUACUCCCACGAGCAGCCAUGAAGCUCUCUCCUCUGCAUCAGUCUAAUUACAAGGAUGAUCCUCGUAGAAGACCUUUAGAUAGGCAAAAUCGCCAUCCUGAGCAACGAGAAUGGAGGAAGCGGCUUGUGAGUUCAGUUGAUAGAUUAAAAGAUACUUUCUGUCGACAACAUGCACUUGAUCUCAUUUUUACAGAAGACGGCGACAGUCAUCUUAGUGCAGAAAUGUACAUAAACAUGGAUGGAAAUGUGGAUGAGGUGGAAUGGUUUCCAUCUUUGAUAUUCCAGGAACUUUUCUUAAAACUGAACCGAAUGGCUAGCAUAGCAGCAGAAAUGUUCAUGGGGAGGGAAAGAUUUGCUACAUUACUGUUGAUGAGGCUUACAGAAACAGUUAUAUUAUGGCUAUCAGAAGAUCAAAGCUUUUGGGAUGACAUUGAGGAAGGCCCAAGGCCCUUGGGUCCUCUUGGUCUGCAGCAGUUUUAUUUGGAUAUGAAGUUUGUAAUCUGCUUUGCUUCCCAAGGACGCUACUUAUCAAGGAAUUUGCAUAGAGUCGUCAAUGAGAUCAUUUCUAAAGCUGUGGCAGCAUUCUCUGCUACAGGAAUGGAUCCUGACAGUGUACUGCCAGAAGACGACUGGUUUAAUGAUAUUUGCCAAGAGGCAAUGGAAAGAUUAAGUGGAAAACCGAAAGCUGUUGAUGGAGAUCGGGAACUUAAUAGCCCAACAGCUUCCGUCUCUGCGCAGUCCAUAUCAUCUGUCAGAUCUCAUGGGAGUUCCUAAGGGAAAGGGAAAUGGAGGAGAAUGAACGAGGAUCUCUUCUCAAUUUAUUUGGCUACUAAGGAGAUGAAAGAUGAAGCCAUAAGUGUAGAGAUGGAUUCAAGAGUCAAAAACUUGAAUACUUGAAUCAAUAUGAACAUCAAGAAAAAAAUCAUGAAGUAGUAAAGAUGAGAAGGGUGAUAGAACAUACAAGGGCAAUGCAAAGAGCAUGUGGAGUCAAGAAACUCGUGUAGACAUGAUUUCCAUAGAAUGAAUCGGUUGCUUAAGUUUGAAGAAUAAACUAUACUACUGGGAAGAGUUUAUGAGGAAAAACCAUAUAUAGAUGGAGAGCUGCAUCAUUCUACCUUAAAGAAAAAAAAUUAUAAUAAUUUUUGGAGCUACAAAAAUAGAGUUUCAAAUUUUUGAGUGAAUUAUGCUCAAGUUGUCAGAUUGGACUACAACAUAUGAGAUCAAUUAGAAUUAGUGAUAUUAUUUCUACAAGAGGAAUUUUAAUAUGUCAUUCUCCAGAUUUAUAGCCAUGGGAGUCUAGUUUCACAUGAAAAAGGUCUUACAUCAAUCCGAGGUGUAUGGAAGAUGCAACAGCCAAAAUACUAAAGCAUGUGUGAACUAUCAAGACUAGAUGAGCAAUAAAAUAUUUUGAUUUUUUUGAAGUAUGAAGAUUGCUGAUUUUGGGGUUUCCAAAAAUUACAAUGUUGUAGUGGAUUGACCAAAAUUUCUAAAAAAAAGGGUUUACUAUUCGGAGUUAUAUAGCUCAAGAUUUUGAGUUUCUAAAUGGUAGUGCCCGUGAUUGAAAAGUAAAAAAUCCACAGAAGCAUUCAGGUCCAAUAUUUCCAACUGUGAAAGAAGCCAUUCAUAGCCAUGAAGAAAUCUUCUCAGCCGUGAAGAAGACUUUCACACCCAUGAAUUAUGGCAAAUCUCCAGAAUUUUCAGGAAAUCAUAGUAGAGGUCACGACCAAAGUUCACAGCUGUAAAAGAAGAAUUCCCAGCCGUGAAGAAUUGUUCAUGACCAUGACGGGUUUCAGUUUUUCAAAUAUAUUUUUCACAUUGAUGCUUCACGGCCAUGAAGGAUUUUUUCCACCCGUGAAGCUGCAUUUAUAAAAGCUGUUACAACGACUAAAUUUGCAUUUAAUAAGGGUAUAACAACUCUAUUUAACCUAGAACUAUUUAAACAUCAUUUCUAAUGGUUCUAGGUCAAGCAAGAGCAUUUACUUGAGCCUCAUAUUUGUUAUAUCUCUCAACAGCCUCUAUUUCUUCAUUAAAUUUUUCUUAUAUUGAAGAUUCAAGAGAGGGCUUGAAUCAUUUAGUAGUUGAGUGAUUGAUUUUUAUAUUCAAAGCUCAAAAGAGUUAGGUUGAGCACUUGUGUAAGAGAUUAAUUGCUCUUGUAACUAAGUUUAAAAAUCUUAGAUUGGGUUAGAGUGUGAGCCUUAAGAAAACACUUGAUUUGAGUGUUAGCCAUUGAAACACUUAUAAGAAGUUUGAGAGUGAGUUUGAAAACACUUGGGUUUGAUCUUACACCCAUAAAAGGAUCAUUGAUAGUGAAAAUCUCAAGUGAAGCUUGAAGAGUGGAUGUAGGCAAGGAGUUGGCCAAACCACUAUAAA
Molecule: RNA transcript, 4125 nt
Organism: Ricinus communis (castor bean)
Lineage: Eukaryota; Viridiplantae; Streptophyta; Magnoliopsida; Malpighiales; Euphorbiaceae
Gene name: exocyst complex component EXO84B
Exons: 9
Source: RefSeq, a predicted model, not a curated record